This 625-nucleotide long non-coding RNA is filed under the name Sus scrofa (pig). RNAcentral's name for it is "lncRNA (ENSSSCG00070018576.1)". Lineage: Eukaryota; Metazoa; Chordata; Mammalia; Artiodactyla; Suidae. The record is from RNAcentral.
CCUGGCCCACUGCACGCUGGCUGACCUGCCCGCUCGCCCCACGGACAGCUGCUCCCCUCCUUCGCCCGGGACCCAAGGCCCGGCCCUUCGGCCGGAUGGAUGGACGGAUAUUGGCCCCGGCAGAUGGACAGGCGGACGGUCGGUCGGCUGCCGGCCGGCUCCUGGAACCUGGGCCCCUCCAUACUACCCAUUUCCUGGGCCCUCCCGAUCCAGGAAACAAGACGGGCGGGGCGUGGGCCGGCCAGGAGCCCUCAAGACAGUCCCGGGGCGCGGCGCCGCCCAGAGGGGGCAAGAACCCGUGUCCCGAGGUAGAGAGAAAAAGCAACGGAGACAAAGCAAGCCGACCCACCGCUCCAGCCCGAACGUGCACCCACCUCACCUCACUGUCUCGGGGGGCUUCUCCUGGCCUGAGAGGGACCUGGCGGGGAAGGCAUCCAAGCGGAAGCGGAAUCCUGACACCUUGGCUGCAGGAGCUCUCCGGUUUGACGACGAGGCCCCCCGCCCCGUGUCCUGGACUCCUGUGGGGAAGGGUGGCCUUGGAAAGGCCACCUGGCGGGCCUGAUGCCCUCCUGCUGCACGCUGGUCGCUCCGCGUGGGGUUGGCGCAAGGGUGAGGGGGCGGAGGG